Molecule: ribosomal RNA, 440 nt
Filed under: uncultured bacterium
Lineage: Bacteria
Description: partial 16S ribosomal RNA
Rfam family: Bacterial small subunit ribosomal RNA
Source: RNAcentral
CCUACGGGAGGCAGCAGUGGGGGAUAUUGCACAAUGGGGGAAACUCUGAUGCAGCGACGCCGCGUGUGGGAAGACGGUCCUCUGGAUUGUAAACCACUGUCCCCAGGGACGAAGAUGACGGUACCUGGGCAGGAAGCUCCGGCUAACUACGUGCCAGCAGCCGCGGUAAUACGUAGGGAGCGGGCGUUGUCCGGAAGUACUGGGUGUAAAGGGAGCGUAGGCGGGGAUGCAAGUUGGGUGUCAAAACUACCGGCUCAACUGGUAGUCGCACGCAAAACUGGAGCUCUUGAGUGAAGUAGAGGCAGGCGGAAUUCCUAGUGUAGCGGUGAAAUGCGUAGAUAUUAGGAGGAACACCAGUGGCGAAGGCGGCCUGCUGGGCUUUUACUGACGCUGAGGCUCGAAAGUGUGGGGAGCAAACAGGAUUAGAUACCCCGGUAGUC